This 3038-nucleotide long non-coding RNA is filed under the name Sarcophilus harrisii (Tasmanian devil). RNAcentral describes it as "lncRNA (ENSSHAG00000031193.1)". The record is from RNAcentral. Lineage: Eukaryota; Metazoa; Chordata; Mammalia; Dasyuromorphia; Dasyuridae.
CGCAGAAACUCACUUGAGCAGUUUUAUUAGGCUGCCGCGGACAAGGCUGGGUGCGGGUGUCGGAGCCCCCCCAUCGGGCGGGGGGGCGCCCACGAUGCCCCCGCUCUCCUGGCUCUGCCCUCCUCCCGGGAAUGGGGGCCUGCCCAUCCCCCUCCAGCAAAGGUCUAAGCCCGCUGACUGCGGGGCAGGCCUCGGUGGCCCCAUGUGUGCGACGAGGGAGGGAGCUGGAAGCGCCUUCCCGCUCCGGAGUUCCCAGCCCAGCUCUCAGUUUGGGACUGGCCCCAUUAGCAGACUUGAUGCCCCCCCCUUUCCCCGCUCGGCGCUGCAGCCAGACCCCCCCCCCGCCCUUGCUCCAGCCUCCCUCCCUCCUCCGACCCUACCUUGCGGGGCCGGGAGAUCCCUGGGAUUUCAGAAGCAGAUUCCCUGCUCACCUGGAGACCCGAGCCCCCGCCCCCGCCCCCGCCGCCUCCGAGAGCCCAGGGGUUCUGGGGGCCAGAAGGGGGGGCGCAAACAAGCCCCGAGCCAGCCCCUCCAUCUGCGGCGCGCGGACCAGCUCCCCAGAAAAGGCGGCCGGGGAGGAGACCUGGCAAAGGGGGAAGGGAGCAGAGCAGCCGGGAGGGACCCAGGCCCCCGGCAGCCGCCGCAGAUCGGCGUUUUCCCGUUGCUGUCAGAGGGCCCACAAUGGCCCGUGAUGGGUCCCUCGGCCCCGAGCUGCGUCCGGGGCGGGGGGGGGCAGGGAGGGAAGGCUGAAGUGGGGGCGCGCAGGUUUGUCUGUACAGAGCCCCCGCCCCCCAAUCCGCCCCACGAAAAUAAACGUCCUCCGUCCUCCAAAGUUUCGGAAAGGCAAGUAGACUCCAGGGAGCGCCCGGGGGGGCCGCGGGCCGGCGGGGGCCGCCACUGGGCAGGCCGCCCGCGGAGGAGGCGCGGGGGCCAGGAGGCUGAGAGGUGCCGACGUCGGGGGCUCGUUCCGCCGACGGUCCGUCCUUCUGCCGGGAAACGAAGCCUCCCUCGCCCGAAGUCCCGGCCGGCCGCCCGUCUCGGCCUCAGUUUCCCCCGCUGAGGCGGGGGCGGCGCCGCGGGCGCCGGGCAGUCUGUGGGCGGGGGGCCGCUGGGGCGGCCGCUAGCUCCGCUGGGCCCCGUUCAGCAGCUCCGUGAGCUCCCCGAUGUACUUGAUGGUGUACUUCAGGGUCUGGAUCUUGGUGAGCGGCUGCCCCCGCUGGCUGUAGACCGGGGGCAGGUAGUUGCGCAGCGUGUGCAGCGCGUCGGCCAGGGCCCUCAUGCGCAGCUUCUCGCGCUCGCUGGCCUUGCGCCGCCGCUGGGCCGACAUCCUGACCUUGGGCCCCUUGGCGGCCUUGCCGGGGCCCGGGCUCUGCAGGUAGGAGGGGGGGAAGGCCAGCAUGGCGCAGGGGCCCCCGCCCGGGCCGGGGCCGCAGGCCAGCUCGGCCGCCCCGGGGUGCGCGGGCGACGCCGACGAGGCGAAGGAGGGCGCGGGGGACAGGCUCUGCGGGGAGCCGGCCCGGCCCAGCUCGAAGGGGCCCGGCGGCUCCUUCCAGUCCCAGGCGGCCAGAAAGGCCGGGCCGGGGCAGGCCAGGCCCUGCUCCAGGCCCAGCAGCGGCUCCGGGAGCUUGUCCAUCCUGCGGGGCGUCUGCCGGGGCCGCGGCCCGGGCCCCUCUUUAUGGGGGCGGGAGGGGGGCUGGGGAAGUGGCACCUGAGGCCGAGCCAGCCGAGUUCAAAGGAGAGGCCGGGGAGGCGGCCAAUGAGCUCCCGGGCGGGGCUUUGGCCCCGUUCCCAAUUAGCGCCCCCCGGUGAAAAUGCCUUUAAACAGAAGGGCCCCCAGAGAAGCCCCAGCGCUGGAUCCGCGGAAACCAAUUAGCCCGGGUAACGGGACUUCAUUGGGAGCUAAUUAAGGAGCCGGCUAAAGAAAACAAUCCGGGCCGGGGGCAGGGCCUGCAGGAGGGAGGCUCCCGCCCCCAGGGAGCUCCCGCAGCCCGGCCCCCUCCUCUACAGGGGGGGAAACUGAGGCACCCAGAGGGCCAGGGCACACACCCAGGAAGCAUCCGGUCUGAAUCCAGCAGGCGAAGGUUCUGGGGCUGCCGGCCAGGGUCAGAGCGUCCACACGGUGUGCCCAGAGAGAGGGACGGAGCAGAGCGCAACAGGCUGAGGGCCAAGCUGGAGCCCAGCUCCUCCCCCACGUUCGGCCUCACCCCCUUCUCAGCCUCUGGGUCUCCCUCAGCAAAGUGCCCGGCUCUGCAAUGGGGCUCUGCAAUGGGGCUCCAGGAUGAUUUCCUUUGCUGACAUACCAGGAGGUUCUCCCAAAAGGGAGCUUUCCCAGCUCCGGCUUUCCCAGCUCCGGCUUUCCCAGCUCCGGCUUUCCCAGCUCCGGCUUUCCCUAUUCUGGGUUCUGCCCGCCCUUCUAGCACCAACAUUCCCUGUUCUGAGGGCCCUCCCAGCUCUGACAUCCCAUGUUCUGUAUUCUAAAAUCGCCCUAAGCUCUGACAUUCUGUGCUCUGUGUUCUAAGACCCCUCCCUCCCAGCUCUGACAUUCAUUCCAUGUUCUAUGUUCACAGACCCCUCCCAGCUCCGACAUUCCUUGUUCUGAGGCCCUUCAGGUUCUUCACGUCUGCCCAGCCUGGUCCCAUGCAUUGGGUUCUAGAAAUGGCCAGCACCGGACACAAAUAGUAGCUGUCUGUGAAACCAUCGUCUACAUCCUUCUAUUUAUCAGUUACUUCUCUGGGUGCAGAGAGCGUCUUCCUUCCCAGUUGGGGAAUGGCUGAAAAGCUGGGGCAGGAAAUUGGGGUAGAAUAUGACUGUGCUAUCGGAAAUUACAAGCUCAAGGAUCUUGGAAAACCAUGGAAAGAUUUGCAUGAAAUAAUAAAGAGCAAGAUGAGAAGAAAACAUUGUCCACAGUGAAAUUGUUUUGAUAAUGACUUUGAACAACUAAGUCACUUUUAGUAUUAUAUUUGCUAUAUUUACUAUUAUAUUUAUAUAAUUUAUUUACUAUUAUAAAAUGUCCAAAUUAAUUACAAAGGAGAUAUGCA